Molecule: non-coding RNA, 110 nt
Organism: Cordylochernes scorpioides
Lineage: Eukaryota; Metazoa; Arthropoda; Arachnida; Pseudoscorpiones; Chernetidae
Source: the annotation of a GenBank genome assembly
ACUUUGAUUCCUUCUUCAAUACCAUUUAUCCAAUCACCAAAGUUAAGCAAUGUCAGGCCUGGUCAGUACUUGGUAGGGUGACCACCUGUGAACACCCAGUGCUGUUGGCU